Molecule: ribosomal RNA, 479 nt
Filed under: uncultured bacterium
Lineage: Bacteria
Description: bacterial SSU rRNA
Rfam family: Bacterial small subunit ribosomal RNA
Source: RNAcentral
UUGAACGCUGGCGGCAUGCUUUACACAUGCAAGUCGAACGCGAAAGGGGGCAACCCUGAGUAGAGUGGCGAACGGGUGAGUAAUGCAUCGGAACGUGUCCUGUAGUGGGGGACAACCUCGAGAAAUCGAGGCUAAUACCCCAUACGUCCUACGGGAGAAAGUGGGGGACCGCAAGGCCUCACGCUAUAGGAGCGGCCGAUGCCGGAUUAGCUAGUUGGUGGGGUAAAGGCUCACCAAGGCGACGAUCCGUAGCUGGUCUGAGAGGAUGAUCAGCCACACUGGGACUGAGACACGGCCCAGACUCCUACGGGAGGCAGCAGUGGGGAAUUUUGGACAAUGGGCGAAAGCCUGAUCCAGCCAUGCCGCGUGAGUGAAGAAGGCCUUCGGGUUGUAAAGCUCUUUCAGACGGAAAGAAAUCGGGCGCGUGAAUAGCGUGCCUGGAUGACGGUACCGUCAGAAGAAGCACCGGCUAACUACGU